AGGUCAUCAAAGGGGCAGAGAUUCUUGAAGUGUUGCACAGUCUCCCGGCAGUUCGGCAGUAUCUGUUUUCUCUCUAUGAAUGCCGUUACUCCGUUUUCUUCCAGUCGUUAGCGGUCGUAGAGCAGGAGAUGAAAAAGGACUGGCUUUUUGCGCCUCAUUACCGAUACUAUGUGAGAGAAAUGCGGAUCCAUGCAUACAGCCAGCUGCUGGAGUCAUAUAGGUCAUUAACCCUUGGCUAUAUGGCA
RNAcentral lists this long non-coding RNA (245 nucleotides) under Rattus norvegicus (Norway rat). RNAcentral describes it as "long non-coding RNA NONRATT010288". The record is from RNAcentral. Lineage: Eukaryota; Metazoa; Chordata; Mammalia; Rodentia; Muridae.